Punica granatum (pomegranate) is the source of this 834-nucleotide non-coding RNA. The record is from RefSeq and is a predicted model, not a curated record. Lineage: Eukaryota; Viridiplantae; Streptophyta; Magnoliopsida; Myrtales; Lythraceae.
GUGUGGACACCGGUAGAGGCGUCACGCGUGGGACGCUUGGUCGACAAUUUUAAAUAUUCCAGCCCCGUGGAACUAGCAACAACAACCAGAGAAGGUGUAAAAAGUCACGGAGCUUGUGUGUCCUUUGUUCGUGUGGGAUUUUGUGUAGUGGGCGCCGAACUACUCAGGGAUUGACACCACUAGGGCGUGGUGUGGGUUGAAGGCAUUGUUGUUGCUGAGGUACUGACACCACAAGGGGAUGUGGUGUGGGGUGAAGGCGACAUAAGGCGUUGGGACCGCUCCAUGGACAAGCCCGCAACGAGGACGUUUGCUAAUUGGGUGAGGGAGAUUGUCACGGGCCGGUAUUCCGAUCCCUCCCCAAGUACAUGCUCCGGGUAUUGUACAUCAUAUCGGUUGGAUAUCUAUAUUAGCUUGUCAAUCUUGAGGAAGGCUGGUCCGGGGAGCCUCGGUGCUCGUAUCCCCGAACGCCCGCACGAGCAUCAAACUCUGUGCCCGUGACACAUGCAUGUAAGACUCGAAUAAUAACUAAAAUAACUUAAUUGGACCACGAAGUGAACCAUGAUUUGUUAUAUAUAUAUAUAUAUAUACAUGCUCUGCAGAGUCCUAGCUCAUCAAAAAUAUGCUAAUUAGAAUUAAAAGAAGGUGUAGAGUAAUAGCGUACACACUCAUUCGUCGAUCUAGAGAUUACAGGUUCGAUACCUAGUGAAAUUACCCGUGCCUCUUUAUUAGUUAUUUAUGAUCUUUCUUUCAUUGUACUAAGUAUUAUGUCUCCUUUUUAAGAGAAAAAAAUAUUAAUUAGAGAUAUGUUAUAAAUGCAUAGCAUUAAGGCGUAAA